RNAcentral lists this long non-coding RNA (6846 nucleotides) under Sus scrofa (pig). RNAcentral describes it as "lncRNA (ENSSSCG00000044029.2)". The record is from RNAcentral. Lineage: Eukaryota; Metazoa; Chordata; Mammalia; Artiodactyla; Suidae.
CCAUUUCUUGAGCCACUCUCGUGGCAUAUGGAGGUUCCCAGGCUAGGGGUCCAAUCGGAGCUGCAGCCGCCGGCCUAUGCCAGAGCCACAGCAACACGGGAUCCGAGACUUGUCUGCAACCUACACCACAGCUCAUGGCAACGCCGGAUCCUUAACCCACUGAGCGAGGCCAGGGAUCGAAGCCGCAACCUCAUGGUUCCUAGUCGGAUUCGUUAACCACUUUGCCACCACAGGAACUCCUCUGGGGUCUUUUCUUAAACUCAUUCUUAAACUCACUGCAUUUUCCCUCACUGUGCUUCGGUUUGGGUCAUUUACAUUUUGCUGUUUCAGUUUCACAGAUUCUUUCCUCUGGCGUUAAGCUCAUCCAAUUCAUGCUGCAGUCCAGACAUGGUUUUUUAUUUCUGGAAUUUCCAUUAGGCUCUUUUUCAGGGUAGUCACCUCUUUGCCAACAUUUCCCCCUGUUGAUACAUAGAGGCCACCUCGUCUACUACAUUCUCUAACAUACUCAUCACGAAAUAACACCAAAGGUUCAGAGAACAAAGGGAAAAUGAGGCAAACUGGACUUCAUGAAAUUUUCUUAAAGGGUGCAUCGAAAGACACUGUGAAUCAAAACUACUAUGAGGUACCACUCACUUCACAGCGGUCAGAAUGGCCAUCAUUAAUAAUCCACAAAUAACAAAUGCUGGAGAGGGUAUGGAGUAAAUGGACCCUCCUACACUGUAGGUGGGAUUAUAGAGUGGCACAACCACCAUGGAAAAUAGUUUGGGGCUACCGCAGAAAACUCAACAGGGAACGAUCGUGUGACCCAGCAAUUGAACUCUUGGGCAUAUAUCCACACAAAACUUUCCCUGAAAAAGAUCCAUGCACCCCUACGUUCACUGCAGCUCCAUUCACAAUAGCCAAGACAUGGAAACAACCCAAAUGUCCAUCAACAGAUGAAUGGAUUGGGAAGACAUGGUAUAUAUACACAAUGCAAUACUACUCAGCCAUAAAAAAAAGAAUGAAAUAAUGCCAUCUGAAGCAACAUGGAGGGAACGAGAGACUCUCAUCCUGACUGAAGUAAGUCAGAAAGAGAACGACAAAUACCAUAUGAUAUCACUUAUAUCUGGAAUCUAAUAUAUGGCACAAAUGAACCUUUCCUCAGAAAAGAAACUCAUAGACUUGGAGAAGAGACUUGUGGUUGCCAAGGGGGAAGAGGAGGGAGUGGGAUGGACUGGGAGCUUGGGGUUAAUAGAUUCAGACUAUCGCCUUUGGAAUGGAUAACUAAUGAGAGCCUGCUGUAUAGCCCUGGGAACACUAUCCAGGCACUUGUGACGGAACAGGAUGGAGGAAAAUGUAAGCAAAAGAAUGCAUAUGUGUAUGUAUGACUGGGUCACUUUGCCCUACAGCAGCAAAUUGACAGAACACUGUAAACCAACUCUAAUGGAACAGGAUGGAGAGUCCUCAAAACACCAUAAGUAGAACCACUAGAUAACCCUGCAAGUCCACUUCUGGGUAUACUAUCCAAGAAGAAUAGUGAAGUCAGCGUGUCAGAAUGAUAUUUGGCACACCUAUGCUCACAGCAGGUAAAGCAUGGAAGCAACUCAAGUGUCUGCUGGCAAAUGAAUGGAUAAGCAAGCUGUGGUCCAGCCACACAACGGAAUAUUCCUCAGGCUGAGCAGGAAAGAGCUUCGGACCCAGGACACAGCAUGGAGGAACCCUGGGAGACAUUCAGCUCAGGGAGACGAGCUGGUCACAGAAGGACGAAUCCGGCAGGAUUCCACUCACCUGAGGCCCCUAGCGUCAUCAGAGGCCUAGAGGCAGAGAGCAGAACGGUGGGUGCCAGGGGCUGGGGGAGGGGGCAGACAAUGUUCAGUGGGGACAGAGUUCCAGAUUUACUAGGCGAAAGCUUUCUGAAGAUGGGUGCUGGCGAUGGGAGGAUCAAAGAUUGGGGUGCUCUUCAGUAGCAUUUUCCACUUACAAAAAUUCAGAUGGUAUGUUUUAUGUUUUGCGUAUUUGAUAAGAAAGGGCAGGCUCCUUCCUGGGCCAGGCUGCUCUUGUGGUGGGUGAGCCAGCCAGUCCGCGGCUGAGCUGGCUCUGAUUUCUGCUGCAACCACCAGCUGUCAAUAUCUUGGCCACGUAGACAUGCAUUCACAGAAGGACCUGGGAUCUGCUGGGCUUUCUCCCACCUGGCACCAGCUCACCCACCUGCGGGCUGUCCUUCACCACCCUCUGCCCUGUCCCCUGUCCCCAACUUUGGGAGCUGUGCCUGCACUUAGCAAAAGCCUGUGUCUGGCAGGGUUUCCGGGUCUCUCUGGCCCGAGACCUGGGGAAUGGGGCCGAGGGGGCUAAGACCCUGUUGGCUCCUCAGCUGUCAUGGUCAACAGGUCACCAGGCCACCUGCCGUGUUCAGUGCUCAAUGAAAUCCAACCUGUGUCACCCCUCCUCCCGCCACUUGGCCUGUACAUGUUCACUCGCUCUGGGGCAAGGUCCUCCGCGAGGAGGGCUCUCAGGCGCCACCAACACAUGCACACACUCCACCUGCCGUGUUUCCAGGGCUCGCUGGGGGCUGAUGCAUCUCCAUGGGGCUGUGGGGUGUCUGGAGGGAAUUUCCCAGGCCAGCCCCCGCCCCUCCAUGAGGCCAGGGAGAACAAAACCUGGACACUCUGGUGGUGGUGGAGGAAAAGGCACAGGACCAACGGAGCAGGACCUACACUCAUAGGACUGAUUCCUGCAAAAGGUGAAACUGAUUUAACGGAGAAGGAUGGUCCAUGCCACAAACCGCCCCAGAGCAAUGAACACCUACAGGCCUAGAAACAAAAAGAAAGCAAAUGAACCAAAACACCUGACCUGAGCUUCAGCCCUGAUAAAAAAGUGAACUCGAAUUGACCACAGGAUAGAUUUAAAAGCAAAAUGUCAAACUGUAAUACUUUCAGAAGGAAGCGCAGGAGGAAAUUUCAGGACCUAGUUUGCUGAAGUCUUUUUAGACAUGACACUAAAAGCGCAAUCCAUAAAACAAGACAGUUGAUAAUACUGGACUUGAUCAAAAAUGCGAUUUUUUUUUUCUCUGUAAGAUUGUAUUAGGACAAAAAGACAAGCUGCAGACUAGGAGCACAUGUUGGCGAAGCACACAUCGGACAAAAGAACUCUCAAAACUCAACGGUAAAAGCCAACGUAUGUGGAGUUCCCAUUGUGGCUCAGUGGGUAAGACACACCUGACUAGCAUCCAUGAGAACAUGGCCUCGCUCAGGGGGUUAAGGAUCUGGCAUUGCCGUGAGUUGUGUUGUAGGUUGCAGACUCGGCUCAGAUCCCGGGUUGCUGUGGCUGUGGUUUAGGCUGGCAGCUCCAGCUCCGAAUGGACCCCUAGCCUGGGAACCUGCACAUGCCAUGGGUGCAGCCCCCCGCCCCCCAAAAAAAGCAAAAAACCCCCCAAUCUUGAGGGAAAUGCAAAGGAGAACAGAACCUGAAGGCUGGCACUCCCCGCUGUGACACGUUCUUAAAAAGGUGACCAUAAAUCACGCGAGCCAGAAAAGGAAAGCUUAAGUUCUCUGCAGGUUUACGGGAGUCUCCAAAACCUGGAACCAUGCAGCCCACCCAGCCACAGAGAGGAAAGAACGGGGGAGGACAACCGGGUCGGACACCUGGGCAUCCUGCUGAGUGGGGGAAACACGAGUCCUAUCUCCAAAGGCCACAGCUCUGAUUCUGCUCAUCCACACUCUAGAGAUGACAAGACUCCCACAGGGGAGAGCGGGCUGGUGGCUGCUUCAGGCAGGAGCAGUGGGGGCAGGUUGGCUGGCUUGAGGGAGGACUUAGUCUGCUGGGGCAACUCGGCCCUUGGUCUGUGCCCUGGUCACGGGGGUGCACAGGUGACAGACAGACAGCUCCAAACGCACACACCACGCUGGCGUCUCUGGAGGAAUGCUGUCCUUAGUGAUGUGAGAUGUCACUGCUGGGGAGAAAUGGCUGCCGGGGGCUUGGGGCCUUCCUGUGAACCUCUCAGUAUAAAUACACAUCUAACCAAUGCCCUAUGGGUCCGCCUGGCUCCCUGGAGCUCAGAGCUUCCUUGUGGGUCUCAGGGCCCCGAUACUGGCGGCUGAGCAGCAGCAGAGGCGGCAGGCAGGGGCUGGGGAAGGCAGGGACUGGGCUGUGAUCAGGUGGGGCAUAGCCCUGCCUCGGGGCCCAGUUAACCCGAGCUCCUGCCCCACAGCCCCCAACACUCAGCUCUGCCUCUUGGAAGUGGUCCCCCCCUCCAGUGUCCCAGGUGCACCUGUUCCCACUUGUCCCUGCUCUGCCUUGCGCUGUCCACUCACCCCAUGCCUCCAACCCAGAGCAGCCGGAGCACCUCCCCUCUUCCUGUAGGGCUUCGGGGUCUCUGAGUGCACAGCCCACCGUCCCAGCCCCUCUCCUGGGGCAGGGGGGUACAGCCCAUGCCUCUGGCCUCUCUUACCCUGGUCUCACCCCUCCCCUUUGCUCAUCAAACGCCCGCAUCAGGCAGGACCCACGGCCAGAGCUGGAGCCGUAACGGCAAGUCCAAGCCCCGGUUCUGCCACGACGUAUCUGUGAGGUCUUGUGCCACCCCUCUGGCUGGUUACCUUCCAUGGGAACGGCGCCCAGCUCUGCACGGGCUCUGAGACCCAUCCAGCUGGAGGGUGCAUGGACUUGUGACCCCCAUCCCAGGUGACACAAUCUCCUGGGGACACUUCUUUGCCUUCCAACAUUCAAUUAUUUAUUCAAAAUAUACAUACAUCAUGAAAUUCAGGCCACGUCUCUGUCCCAGCACCCCUACCCUAGCCUCCGCUUUGCCCUCCCUCCCCACCCCUCUUCUCCCCCUCUAGGGGGCGUGCACAGGGAGGAAGAAACUCUCCAGCUCCCAGGCCUGGGCCUGCCUCUAAGGGCCCUGCUCCACCUGCACACAGUGCCCCUUUGCAUCUUCCGGGAAGGCCUUCAAAAGGUGUUGUGCCCGGGACAAUAGAAAAAACAGCUUUUUCCAUCUCUCUGUUUCCUUUUCAGAAAUUCUGAGCUCUGCCUUCAGCUCAGACAGCUCCUUGGAAAGAUGAUUUUUAUGUUCUCUUUCUGCAUUUAGUGUCUUCUCAAGUUCUCCCAGGGCUUUACCCAUCAUCUUCAAUCCUUUGCCCAGCUCUGCCAGCUGCUCUUGUUGGAACUCACGGUAGUCCUUUAUCUCUCUGCAUGAGAUAAAUGUCCAGAAGGAAAAGAGCAGCACCAGAGCACAGCGAGUCAACAGAAGGAGCAAACUCUCAAUGUUUCCAAAGCCUAGCUGUGACCACAGGGUUUCUGUCAUGGCUGGUGUCCCCGUCUGGGCUGUUGGCCUGGCCUGGCAUGUUGGUUCCGCCUGGGCUGGUAUCCUCGCCGAUCCUGGUGUCCCUGCCUGGGCUGGUGUCCCCGCCUGGGGUGUUGGCCCCACCUGGGCUGGUGGACCUGACUGGGCUGGUGGCACCAGAGGAGCUGGUGUCCCCACCUGGGUUGGUAGCCUCGCCUGGGGUGACGGACACAUCUGGGCGGGUGGACUUGCCUGGAGUGGUGGCCCCACCUGGUAUGCUGGGCCUGCCUGGGCUGGUAGCCUGGCAUCAGCUGGAGUCGUGGCCUGGUCUAGUGGCCCCAUCACCUGGGCUGCUGUCCCUAUUGGGGCCAUUGGUCCCGCAAGGCUUGGUGGCCCCACUUGGGCUGUUGCUCCUGCCUGGGGAAACGUCCCCACAUGGGCUGUUGGUCCCACCUGUGGUGGUAGCAUCACCAGGGCCACUGGUCCCAUCUGGGCUGCUGGUCCUUCCUGGGCUGGUGUCCUCACCUGGGCUGGUGGUCCCACCUGGGCUGGUCGCCUUGCCUGGACUUUUGGCCCUGCCAGGACUGGUGGCCCUAACUGGACCAGUCGCCUCACCCAGGCUGGUGGUCCCACAUGGGCUGGAGAGCCCUUUGAGAGGUUGCAUGGAGGUGGGCAGGAGGUACAGGAACUCGCCCUGUGAGUCUGUGACUCUCCUUUGUGGAGCAGGAGGGCCAAGGUGGAGAUCUUGGAUCUGGGGUCCAUGGAUGUCUGAGGAGGGGUGGCCAGCUGCCUUCUGUGCAGUGUGGAGUUGGAGGCGUGGCACGUGUCCAGGUCUCUUGGCCAACAGGGCUGGGAGGGCUGCUUCCCCUCCGCGUGGGGGUCUGCUUGGUUCUGGUUCCAGACGUCCAAGCCCCUGUUGUAGAACCUGAGCACAGUGUUGAGGAGCUGGGCCAGGCCCGAGGAGGGCUGCGGGUGGAGGAGGCGCCGGGUGCGGGUGCGCAGGCUCAUCCGCCCGCAAAGGGGCUCAAAGCUGGAUGCGAACAGGAAUGUGGUACACCAAGUGUGGGUGAGAGGCCCGGGGCAGGACAGGUGGGCCUGGGGCAUGCCAUGUGCAGGUGCAGAGAAGGCGGCAGAGGACACCGCCUUGAAGAGCAAGAGCAGGAACAGCUGAAAAGCCAUAUCCUCCGUCUGGGAGACGGUGGAAGCACUGGGCUUUUAUAACUGCCUUGCCCUCAAGUCACAAUGCCUCCCUGUGACAUCCCCGUGGCCCGGGCCAAUCACGAGGCAGCUUCCGCAACCCCCUCCCCCGCCAUGCGCUUCCGGCCAAUGGCCAGGCGUCUCUCAUCCUAUCCCUCCAAACCUUCUGGUAAGAUGCCAACUCUCAUCUUUUGGCAGUUGGACAGGAGCUCACGCUGCCAUUGCCCGGGGAAGCUUGGGUCUCGCUCUGCCCUAUCACAGUCUUCAUUUCCCAGCUUGAAUGUCUCGGUGCUCCUACAACCCUCGAGGAUCUGAGAGCUGGUGGGUAUUUCUUAUGGGGUGCAGGUCCUCCCGCCCCAACUCUUGCCUGUGCUCCACCAAGAGUUUUCCAU